Molecule: ribosomal RNA, 396 nt
Filed under: uncultured bacterium
Lineage: Bacteria
Description: bacterial SSU rRNA
Rfam family: Bacterial small subunit ribosomal RNA
Source: RNAcentral
AUUGAACGCUGGCGGCAUGCCUUACACAUGCAAGUCGAGCGGCAGCGCGGGGGCAACCCUGGCGGCGAGCGGCGCACGGGUGAGUAAUACAUCGGAACGUGUCCUUUCGUGGGGGAUAACCAGUCGAAAGACUGGCUAAUACCGCAUGAGAUCUCACGAUGAAAGCGGGGGACCCGAGGGUAACUUCGGGCCUCGCGCGAUUGGAGCGGCCGAUGUCGGAUUAGCUAGUUGGCGGGGUAAAAGCCCACCAAGGCGACGAUCCGUAGCUGGUUUGAGAGAACGACCAGCCACACUGGGACUGAGACACGGCCCAGACUCCUACGGGAGGCAGCAGUGGGGAAUUUUGGACAAUGGGGGCAACCUGAUCCAGCCAUGCCGCGUGUGUGAAGAAGGCCU